Molecule: non-coding RNA, 31 nt
Filed under: Mus musculus (house mouse)
Lineage: Eukaryota; Metazoa; Chordata; Mammalia; Rodentia; Muridae
Source: RNAcentral
UACAAAUGAAGAAAAUACAUUGCAGGUGAUG